AAGUCCUCAUGGCCCUUAUAGUGGGGCUACACACGUCAUACAAUGGCUGGUACAAAGGGUUGCCAACCCGCGAGGGGAGCCAAUCCCAUAAAGCCAGUCGUAGUCCGGAUCGUAGUCUGCAACUCGACUACGUGAAGUCGGAAUCGCUAGUAAUCGUGGAUCAGAAUGUCACGGUGAAUACGUUCCCGGGUCUU
RNAcentral lists this ribosomal RNA (194 nucleotides) under uncultured Rhodoferax sp. RNAcentral's name for it is "partial 16S ribosomal RNA". It matches the Rfam family "Bacterial small subunit ribosomal RNA", at positions 1187 to 1382 of the family's 1533-position model. The record is from RNAcentral. Lineage: Bacteria; Pseudomonadati; Pseudomonadota; Betaproteobacteria; Burkholderiales; Comamonadaceae.